GGACUACUCGGGUAUCUAAUCCUGUUUGCUCCCCACGCUUUCGCGCCUCAGCGUCAAUGUCGGUCCAGUUGGCCGCCUUCGCCACGGGUGUUCUUCCCAAUCUCUACGAAUUUCACCUCUACACUGGGAAUUCCACCAACCUCUACCGAAUUCAAGUAAGACAGUAUCGAAUGCAAUUCCAGGGUUGAGCCCUGGGCUUUCACACCCGACUUAUCAAACCGCCUACGCGCCCUUUACGCCCAGUAAUUCCGAACAACGCUAGCUCCCUUCGUAUUACCGCGGCUGCUGGCAC
This 292-nucleotide ribosomal RNA is filed under the name uncultured bacterium. Its description in RNAcentral is "partial 16S ribosomal RNA". The record is from RNAcentral.